AUAGAUGUCGGAUCACGACAGAUAUUGUUAGAAUGUUGAGUUCAUAGUUCUCUCAAUAGGCAUAUUCUCACCUUUAUCUCACCAAGCACCAGCUAUUCUUGGCUUGCAGAUUUGUCUCCUUACGUACCCUCAUCAUCAAGCAAUGGGAAAAGGAAAAGCAGGAUCUAGUUUGCAAGUGUUUUUGAUAAUAGUAGAUGUGUUUUGUUGUAAUAAAUUGUAUUAUUAACUUGCCCUCAAAAUAAUAGAAGCGUCAUUUGUCUUUGAAUUAUUUAAAGAUGGAUGUAUAGUCUGUUUUGAAUCGGCAAUAGAUUUUUAUCUAUCAUAAAACCUGAUAGCAAUUGUGAUCUAUUUUACCAUUCCUUCUGUAUGCUACGGUCUUUUUCUCUA
RNAcentral lists this long non-coding RNA (387 nucleotides) under Zea mays. Its description in RNAcentral is "long non-coding RNA NONZMAT002416". The record is from RNAcentral. Lineage: Eukaryota; Viridiplantae; Streptophyta; Magnoliopsida; Poales; Poaceae.